GCCAGCCAUCUGCUACUACCCAAACGACGAUGUUUUGGUCACAGUUGCCGAGUCUAAUGCGGACUUCACUCUUGUUUCUGGCAACCAAAUGCGUGAAGUCAUGGAGUCAAAACUUUAUAUUCCAGAGUUGCCUGUAUCGGAUUCAACAGCGGCAACUAUAGCCUUCCAAAUAACACUAUUUCCAAAUCAAGGCUUUUCCAUUGGUAUCUCUUCCCACCAUGCUAUCUUUGACGGCAAAAGUGUGAUCAUGUUUAUGAAAGCAUGGGCUUACAUAUGCAAACAGAGCGAAACGGAGACCAACCCAUCUUUAUUACCUGAGCUAAUUCCGGUUCUCGAUCGAAGUCUCAUUCAGGACCCAGAAGGUCUUUCCAUGAUUUACUUGAACAACUGGUUGGAAGCCAAAUUGCCAGGUUUGAAUACCAUUAAUCCUAAGAGUUUAAAGCUAUUUCAGGGUAAAGGAGUUCCACCCAACUCAGUACGAUCAACGUUCGAGUUGUCUCGCGAAGAUAUACAGAAACUGAGGCGAAAGGUAAUCUAUCAAUUGGAAGGCCUCCAUGAAGAAGAUUCGAAUCAAAUUAAAUCAGCGCAUUUUUCAACUUUUGUUCUCUCAUUUGCUUAUACUUUGGUUUGUAUCGUGAAAGCGCGAAUGGCCGAAAGGAACAGAAAGAUUGUUUUUGUAUUCGUAGCAGAUUGUAGAGCCCGUUUGGACCCUCCAAUACCUGCCAAUUAUUUUGGUAACUGUGUCAAAGGCAUCCGUAUAUUUACAGAAGCAGAAACUCUUCUUGGAGAUGAUGGGGUUGCCUUUGCUGCAGAGAAGCUUAGCGAGCGGAUAAAAGGGUUAGAGAAAGGAGUGAUAAGCGAAAGAGAGAAGGAAAGGCUUGCAAUCUAUUUGGAAGUUAUGGGGGCAGGAGGUACAGCAAUAGGCAUUGGGGUUGCUGGGUCACCUCGAUUCGAGGUUUAUGGGACAGAUUUUGGGUGGGGAAAGCCAAAGAAGGUGGAAAUUACAUCCAUAGAUAGGGGGAAAUCCAUUUCCUUAACGGAGAGCAAAGACGGGGG
RNAcentral lists this unclassified non-coding RNA (1056 nucleotides) under Hevea brasiliensis (rubber tree). Lineage: Eukaryota; Viridiplantae; Streptophyta; Magnoliopsida; Malpighiales; Euphorbiaceae. The record is from RNAcentral.